AAAGCCCACGGCUCAACCGUGGAGGGUCAUUGGAAACUGGAAAACUUGAGUGCAGAAGAGGAAAGUGGAAUUCCAUGUGUAGCGGUGAAAUGCGCAGAGAUAUGGAGGAACACCAGAUGGCGAAGGCGACUUUCUGGUCUGUAACUGACGCUGAUGUGCGAAAGCGUGGGGAUCAAACAGGAUUAGAUACCCUGGU
This 196-nucleotide ribosomal RNA is filed under the name uncultured Staphylococcus sp. RNAcentral describes it as "partial 16S ribosomal RNA". It matches the Rfam family "Bacterial small subunit ribosomal RNA", at positions 597 to 791 of the family's 1533-position model. The record is from RNAcentral. Lineage: Bacteria; Bacillati; Bacillota; Bacilli; Caryophanales; Staphylococcaceae.